UACGUAGGCAGCGAGCGUUGUUCGGAGUUACUGGGCGUAAAGGGUGCGUAGGCGGCUUUUUAAGUUUGGUGUGAAAUCUCCCGGCUCAACUGGGAGGGUGCGCCGAAUACUGAGAGGCUAGAGUGUGGGAGAGGAAAGUGGAAUUCCUGGUGUAGCGGUGAAAUGCGUAGAUAUCAGGAGGAACACCUGUGGCGAAAGCGGCUCACUGGACCACAACUGACGCUGAUGCACGAAAGCUAGGGGAGCAAACAGG
This 253-nucleotide ribosomal RNA is filed under the name uncultured bacterium. RNAcentral describes it as "partial 16S ribosomal RNA". It matches the Rfam family "Bacterial small subunit ribosomal RNA", at positions 524 to 776 of the family's 1533-position model. The record is from RNAcentral.